This is a non-coding RNA of Momordica charantia (bitter melon), 801 nucleotides long. The record is from RefSeq and is a predicted model, not a curated record. NCBI's taxonomy places the organism in Eukaryota, Viridiplantae, Streptophyta, Magnoliopsida, Cucurbitales, Cucurbitaceae.
GCAGAAUUGUAUUCCUACUAAAAAAAAUGGAACUCCAAAGGUAGCUCGUGGGAAGCCACAUCGACGAAUUGAGAAGCUAGAUAAUUGACACAAGUUGUGCGAUAGAUGGAAAACUCCUGAAUGGAAGGAAAAAUCAGAGAUAAACAAAAGGAGUAGGUCAAAGGUCACUUACAAUCAUCGGGUCGRGUCUAAAACAUUCRAUCAUAUGCAAUAAAAACUGAAAGACAAGCUUAGCAUGGAGAUCGGUCUCAUCCAAAUGUUUAAAGAGAUGAGAUAUAAUCCUGAAAAAUGAUGGGUAAACCCCCAUGCCGAAACAACACAUAAAGUGUUAGAGGACGUGAGGGAUGCACCUGUACCAGAAAGGACUGAUCUGCCGAUAGAAGCAGAUUGUUGUCGGACUGUAUUCGAUCCUCGAUCCAAAUUCGUCGUAAGCAUGGGGUUGGGCCCAACACCAGGAGCGAGAAGAGGAAGCUCAUCCAACGAUCCAACAGUCAUGGAGGAACUAAAUCAKACAAAAGAAGAAUUAAAGGUGACUAAAGACAAAUUGAAGGAGACUAAAGAACGAUUGGACAAUACCGAAGAUCGCUUAAGCCAAAYUGAAGAAGCUUUAGCCAGCAAUCUACGAGACUUCAGUAACUUCAAAAACUACUUCRAAAGUUUCAUGAGUCAAUCCUCAGGUAGAUCAUGGCCCUUUGUCUGGAUAGAUAUAAAACYUCUACUUAGGUUUUUGUAGCUUUUGAAACAUAUUAAACGUGUAAAUUCAAGAACUUUUGAAACAUGUGAAUCUGGAUGAUAUAUUGG